This is a long non-coding RNA of Gopherus flavomarginatus (Mexican gopher tortoise), 554 nucleotides long. RefSeq lists it as uncharacterized. The record is from RefSeq and is a predicted model, not a curated record. Lineage: Eukaryota; Metazoa; Chordata; Testudines; Testudinidae. The transcript is spliced from 3 exons.
AAAGUUCGGGUUUGCAAUGGCGCUCCUAAGUCCUGUUUGUGGCUCUAGCUCCCGUUUAUCCCACAGCCCAGCAGCCAGGGAUGAAAUACCAGCCUGCCUCAGGGAGCUCAUAGUUGAAUGGUAGGCAGCAGGGACGUGAGAUGCAGAGGAUACUAAGGCCAAAAGGAGCCUUGUAUUCAUCUAGCCUAACCCGAGUAACACAGGCCAUUCAAUGGCACUCACUAUUUCCCACUAGAGUAGAUCUUUUUAGAAAAAUAUCCUGUCUUGAUUUAAAGACUCCAUGUGAUGGAGAUUUUACUGCAUCCCUUGGCAAAAUUAUUCUAAUAGAUCACUGAUUAAAAAUAUUAAAUAGCAUUGGGCCAAGAACCAAGGCUUGAGCGACCCCCAGUUGAUGAUAUUUAAUGAAUGGCUGACACCGACUGGCAGAUUUCUUUUCAACUUGAGUGGAGAUUUAAAGCAGGAGAGGGCAGUUACUGGCCAUCCAGAUCAGUUGAGGGAGGCAUUCAGUGAAAAAGGAGUAGCAUGGAAGGUGUGAGAAGCUGAUGGACAGGGAG